This 399-nucleotide ribosomal RNA is filed under the name Rhizobium leguminosarum. Its description in RNAcentral is "bacterial SSU rRNA". It matches the Rfam family "Bacterial small subunit ribosomal RNA", at positions 21 to 450 of the family's 1533-position model. RNAcentral also lists the same sequence under 1 other name. The record is from RNAcentral. Lineage: Bacteria; Pseudomonadati; Pseudomonadota; Alphaproteobacteria; Hyphomicrobiales; Rhizobiaceae.
GGCUCAGAACGAACGCUGGCGGCAGGCUUAACACAUGCAAGUCGAGCGCCCCGCAAGGGGAGCGGCAGACGGGUGAGUAACGCGUGGGAAUCUACCCUUGACUACGGAAUAACGCAGGGAAACUUGUGCUAAUACCGUAUGUGUCCUUCGGGAGAAAGAUUUAUCGGUCAAGGAUGAGCCCGCGUUGGAUUAGCUAGUUGGUGGGGUAAAGGCCUACCAAGGCGACGAUCCAUAGCUGGUCUGAGAGGAUGAUCAGCCACAUUGGGACUGAGACACGGCCCAAACUCCUACGGGAGGCAGCAGUGGGGAAUAUUGGACAAUGGGCGCAAGCCUGAUCCAGCCAUGCCGCGUGAGUGAUGAAGGCCCUAGGGUUGUAAAGCUCUUUCACCGGAGAAGAUA